GUACUUUUUUCUUAUUCAACAGAGUAGCUUUUAUUGAUUAAUUUUUUUCAUAAUGGGGCAGGGAUGGAGAAUCCCUGAUUUGAAUAUUGCAGGUAUGAAUGCAUGAAGGGGGUGAAAAUGCUUAACAGGGACAGGGAUUGGAAUGGUAUACCCACCCCGAUUCGACCCAUUGCCACCACUCGUCGCUUGCUCUCACACCCUCAAGCCGCAUCAUCUGUCUCCAUAUUCAGAGGUCGUAGAAAGAGUGGCAGUUCGGGCUGAGAAAUAAAGAUUCUCUACUGAUACAUAACCAAAAUAUCAAUUUCACCCCCUCAUCUGUUUUCUUUUCUGGGUUAAGAAGUUUUUCCUCUUUGUUUCAAUUGGACCAAUAUCAAAAUGCAACAGGCAAAUCAGAAUUACAGUAGCAAAUAAAUUUGUCUUUACUGAGAGACCAUAAAAAAUACAGGUGGAUGAGUUGAAGCAAGACCUGGGGUACUAGAAGAAUCUAGCAGAGCAUGUUACCAAACAGAUUGCAAAGCAUAAAUUUGAAAGAAUGUAAUCCCAAUGGCAGAAGGGGAAAUACCAAUACUAUUUAUUCUUGUACAUUGAGGAAAUACUUGUAACUUAAUGCAGUGGUUCCUCCACUUGUGUUCUUGGACAUAUUGUAAGCUUUUAGAUUAGCAAGUUAACAGAGGAUAAAUAACCAAUAAUAAAAUGGUAAAGUUUAACAAAUA
Long non-coding RNA from Prunus dulcis (almond), 713 nucleotides. RefSeq lists it as uncharacterized. Lineage: Eukaryota; Viridiplantae; Streptophyta; Magnoliopsida; Rosales; Rosaceae. The record is from RefSeq and is a predicted model, not a curated record. The transcript has 2 exons.